This 302-nucleotide ribosomal RNA is filed under the name uncultured bacterium. Its description in RNAcentral is "partial 16S ribosomal RNA". It matches the Rfam family "Bacterial small subunit ribosomal RNA", at positions 508 to 808 of the family's 1533-position model. The record is from RNAcentral.
GCAGUAGCCGCGUAAUACAGAGGGUGCGAGCGUUAAUCGGAUUUACUGGGCGUAAAGCGUGCGUAGGCGGCUUCUUAAGUCGGAUGUGAAAUCCCUGAGCUUAACUUAGGAAUUGCAUUCGAUACUGGGAAGCUAGAGUAUGGGAGAGGAUGGUAGAAUUCCAGGUGUAGCGGUGAAAUGCGUAGAGAUCUGGAGGAAUACCGAUGGCGAAGGCAGCCAUCUGGCCUAAUACUGACGCUGAGGUACGAAAGCAUGGGGAGCAAACAGGAUUAGAUACCCGAGUAGUCCCUGUCUCUUAUACA